RNAcentral lists this ribosomal RNA (403 nucleotides) under Verrucomicrobiota bacterium. RNAcentral describes it as "Verrucomicrobia bacterium partial 16S ribosomal RNA". It matches the Rfam family "Bacterial small subunit ribosomal RNA", at positions 355 to 776 of the family's 1533-position model. The record is from RNAcentral. Lineage: Bacteria; Pseudomonadati; Verrucomicrobiota.
UGGGGAAUAUUGCACAAUGGGGGAAACCCUGAUGCAGCGACGCCGCGUGAGCGAAGAAGGCUUUCGAGUCGUAAAGCUCUGUCCUAUGAGAAGAUAAUGACGGUAUCAUAGGAGGAAGCCCUGGCUAAAUACGUGCCAGCAGCCGCGGUAAUACGUAUGGGGCGAGCGUUGUCCGGAAUUAUUGGGCGUAAAGGGUACGUAGGUGGUUUUUUAAGUCAGGUGUCAAAGCGUGGAGCUUAACUCCAUUAAGCACUUGAAACUGAAAGACUUGAGUGAAGGAGAGGAAAGUGGAAUUCCUAGUGGAGCGGUGAAAUGCGUAGAUAUUAGGAGGAAUACCGGUGGCGAAGGCGACUUUCUGGACUUUUACUGACGCUCAGGUACGAAAGCGUGGGGAGCAAACAGG